UACGAAGGGGGCUAGCGUUGUUCGGAAUUACUGGGCGUAAAGCGUGCGCAGGCGGCUUCUCAAGUCAGGGGUGAAAGCCCAGAGCUCAACUCUGGAAUUGCCUUUGAGACUGAGUGGCUUGAGUACGAGAGAGGUGAGUGGAAUUCCCAGUGUAGAGGUGAAAUUCGUAGAUAUUCGCAAGAACACCAGUGGCGAAGGCGGCUCACUGGCCCGAUACUGACGCUGAGGCACGAAAGCGUGGGGAGCAAACAGGG
RNAcentral lists this ribosomal RNA (254 nucleotides) under uncultured bacterium. Its description in RNAcentral is "partial 16S ribosomal RNA". It matches the Rfam family "Bacterial small subunit ribosomal RNA", at positions 524 to 777 of the family's 1533-position model. The record is from RNAcentral.